UGCAUGAAUGACAUUGAGGUGCCAGAGCUUGUCCAGAGAAUGGCAACAGAGCUAGGGAAGGGUCUGGAGCACAACACCAGGUUUCAUGAGCAGCAGCU
Corvus hawaiiensis (hawaiian crow) is the source of this 98-nucleotide long non-coding RNA. RefSeq lists it as uncharacterized. Lineage: Eukaryota; Metazoa; Chordata; Aves; Passeriformes; Corvidae. The record is from RefSeq and is a predicted model, not a curated record. The transcript is spliced from 3 exons.